Molecule: ribosomal RNA, 404 nt
Filed under: Actinomycetes bacterium
Lineage: Bacteria; Bacillati; Actinomycetota; Actinomycetes
Description: Actinobacteria bacterium partial 16S ribosomal RNA
Rfam family: Bacterial small subunit ribosomal RNA
Source: RNAcentral
UGGGGAAUAUUGGACAAUGGGCGCAAGCCUGAUCCAGCCAUGCCGCGUGAGUGAUGAAGGCCCUAGGGUUGUAAAGCUCUUUCACCGGUGAAGAUAAUGACGGUAACCGGAGAAGAAGCCCCGGCUAACUUCGUGCCAGCAGCCGCGGUAAUACGAAGGGGGCUAGCGUUGUUCGGAUUUACUGGGCGUAAAGCGCACGUAGGCGGACUAUUAAGUCAGGGGUGAACUCCCGGGGCUCAACCCCGGAACUGCCUUUGAUACUGGUAGUCUUGAGUUCGAGAGAGGUGAGUGGAAUUCCGAGUGUAGAAGUGAAAUUCGUAGAUAUUCGGAGGAACACCAGUGGCGAAGGCGGCUCACUGGCUCGAUACUGACGCUGAGGUGCGAAAGCGUGGGGAGCAAACAGG